GACGAACGCUGGCGGCGUGCCUAAUACAUGCAAGUCGAACGCAGUGGGGACGGGUGAGUAACACGUGGGUAACCUCCCAUCAGAGGGGAUAACACUUGGAAACAGGUGCUAAACCGAUACUGAUGGAUGGACCCGCGGUGCAUUCGCUAGUUGGUGAGGUAACGGCUCACCAAGGCCACGAUGCAGCGCCGACCUGAGAGGGGGAUCGGCAACACUGGGACUGUGACACGGCCCAGAUGCAUACGGGAGGCAGCAGUGGGGAAUAUUGCACAAUGGGCGCAAGCCUGAUGCAGCCAUGCCGCGUGUAUGAAGAAGGCCUUCGGGUUGUAAAGUACUUUCAGCGGGGAGGCGUUACCCGCAGAAGAAGCACCGGCUAACUCCGUGCCAGCCGCCGCGGUAAUAC
This 403-nucleotide ribosomal RNA is filed under the name uncultured bacterium. RNAcentral's name for it is "partial 16S ribosomal RNA". It matches the Rfam family "Bacterial small subunit ribosomal RNA", at positions 28 to 526 of the family's 1533-position model. The record is from RNAcentral.